CAACAUAGUAUUAUUUCUACUAGUAAUGAGGUCUCAUGGCUAACUCAAGGCAGAGCCGGGCCUGGAGCCAAGGGUUAACUUAAUAUCCUGUUUCUGCAUCCUUCAGGUUCCUGCCGGGGAAAAGAGGAAAGGAUUAUUCUGGCAGCAAGAACCUACAGAAGAGUCACCAGUGGACAAUGACCCAGACCUGGAGAGAGGAGGGUGGGAAAUCCUCAGAGUGAGGGAUUAUAAGGAUCUUCUCCACUUUCUUUCCUUCUCUUUAACUUCUGGAGCAAUAGGGUUUGAGAGGACAAGGUAUGAUAAGGUAUGAUGGGGGACGUGGGGACAAUUUAGGGAUGCAUGGCUCUGAAAGACUACAGCAGGCGCCAGGAACCAAACAGCUGGGAUGUUUAUAAUUGUCCAAGAACCUGGGCUUCUAGGCAGAAGGGAGAAGUGAAGGUUAGGGCCACUUUCUCCAUAUUUUGACCCAGGUCUAAAGGGCAGGAAAACAGACAGGGAUCAUGAGCACAAAGCUCUGCUCCUGCGUAGAGUUCAGGGUCUU
Molecule: long non-coding RNA, 541 nt
Filed under: Bos taurus (domestic cattle)
Lineage: Eukaryota; Metazoa; Chordata; Mammalia; Artiodactyla; Bovidae
Description: long non-coding RNA NONBTAT001933
Source: RNAcentral